GACAAACGCUGGCGGGGUGCAUGAGACAUGCAAGUCGAACGGGGUGCCAACGAGCUUGCUCGAUGGUUACCUAGUGGCGGACGGCUGAGUAACGCGUAGGUGACCUACCCGGAAGUGGGGAAUAACUGCCCGAAAGGGUGGCUAAUACCGCAUGUGGUCGGCGAUUCGAUUCGCCGUCCAAAGGAGAAAUCCGCUUCCGGCGGGGCCUGCGUCCGAUUAGCUAGUUGGUGAGGUAACGGCCCACCAAGGCGACGAUCGGUAGCUGGUCUGAGAGGAUGAUCAGCCAGACUGGGACUGAGAACGGCCCAGACUCCUACGGGAGGCAGCAGUCGGGAAUUUUGCCCAAUGAGCGAAAGCUUGAGGCAGCAACUCCGCGUGAGGGAUGAAGGCUCUCGGGUCGUAAACCUCUUUUCUCAGGGAAGAUCCAAGACGGUACCUGAGGAAUAAGCGACGGCUAACUACGUGCCAGCAGCCGCAGUAAAAC
This 484-nucleotide ribosomal RNA is filed under the name uncultured bacterium. RNAcentral describes it as "bacterial SSU rRNA". It matches the Rfam family "Bacterial small subunit ribosomal RNA", at positions 28 to 526 of the family's 1533-position model. The record is from RNAcentral.